AUACUCUGGUUUCUCUUCAGAUCGCACAAAUCUUUCGCCUUUUACUAAAGAUUUCCGUGGAGAGGAACAAACCUGAGUUCUAGCUCAAUUUUUGGUGCCCUGUUAUUUACCAGGGU
Small nuclear RNA from Erinaceus europaeus (western European hedgehog), 116 nucleotides. Its record names the gene U5. It matches the Rfam family "U5 spliceosomal RNA". Rfam says of the family: U5 RNA is a component of both types of known spliceosome. The record is from Ensembl. NCBI's taxonomy places the organism in Eukaryota, Metazoa, Chordata, Mammalia, Eulipotyphla, Erinaceidae.